This 71-nucleotide transfer RNA is filed under the name Staphylococcus aureus M0790. RNAcentral describes it as "tRNA-Gln". It matches the Rfam family "tRNA". Rfam says of the family: Transfer RNA (tRNA) molecules are approximately 80 nucleotides in length. Their secondary structure includes four short double-helical elements and three loops (D, anti-codon, and T loops). The record is from RNAcentral. Lineage: Bacteria; Bacillati; Bacillota; Bacilli; Caryophanales; Staphylococcaceae.
GGGCUAUAGCCAAGCGGUAAGGCAACGGACUUUGACUCCGACAUUCGAGGGUUCGAUCCCCUUCAGCCGCC